RNAcentral lists this ribosomal RNA (314 nucleotides) under uncultured Bacillota bacterium. RNAcentral describes it as "bacterial SSU rRNA". It matches the Rfam family "Bacterial small subunit ribosomal RNA", at positions 28 to 351 of the family's 1533-position model. Lineage: Bacteria; Bacillati; Bacillota. The record is from RNAcentral.
GAUGAACGCUGGCGGCGUGCCUAACACAUGCAAGUCGAGCGAUUCUCUUCGGAGAAGAGCGGCGGACGGGUGAGUAACGCGUGGGUAACCUGCCCUGUACACACGGAUAACAUACCGAAAGGUAUGCUAAUACGGGAUAACAUAUUUUGAUGGCAUCAUCGAAAUAUCAAAGCUCCGGCGGUACAGGAUGGACCCGCGUCUGAUUAGCUAGUUGGUGAGGUAAUGGCUCACCAAGGCGACGAUCAGUAGCCGACCUGAGAGGGUGAUCGGCCACAUUGGAACUGAGACACGGUCCAAACUCCUACGGGAGGCUG